This 324-nucleotide ribosomal RNA is filed under the name uncultured eukaryote. RNAcentral describes it as "partial 18S ribosomal RNA". It matches the Rfam family "Eukaryotic small subunit ribosomal RNA", at positions 1470 to 1796 of the family's 1831-position model. The record is from RNAcentral.
CCCUUAGAUGUUCUGGGCCGCACGCGCGCUACACUGAUGCAUUCAACGAGUUUCUUCCUGGUCCGAGAGGAAUGGGUAACCUUUUGAAAGUACAUCGUGAUAGGGAUAGACUAUUGCAAUUAUUGGUCUUCAACGAGGAAUUCCUAGUAGACGUAGUUCAUCAGACUGCAUCGAUUACGUCCCUGCCCUUUGUACACACCGCCCGUCGCUCCUACCGUUCGAAUGCUCAGGUGAGCCAUUCGGACUUUCAUCAUGCUGGUUUCCAGUUUUGAUGAAGGAAAGUCUUGCGAACCUUAUCAUUUAGAGGAAGGAGAAGUCGUAACA